This 947-nucleotide long non-coding RNA is filed under the name Monomorium pharaonis (pharaoh ant). RNAcentral describes it as "uncharacterized LOC118645112, transcript variant X2". The record is from RNAcentral. Lineage: Eukaryota; Metazoa; Arthropoda; Insecta; Hymenoptera; Formicidae.
AAUAAAUGCAUUUAUUGUCAUGGAGGACUCUGUCUUACCGUGUGUGAAACUGUAACCGUUUGUCGCUUGCAUCCGAGGACUGAGAGAUCAAGGGAUGUAAAACGUACGCUUCUCUCAAAGACCUAAAUAUCUGCUUUACCAGCUUAUGAAACAGUCAUUUUCAGUUGCCUUUUAUCAUUAACAUGUCCUGCACUCUGUAAUUUGCCUCAAAGAAUAUUUUCAAAAUAUUAAAAUAUGAAUUACAUAUAUUUCUUUUUGUUUAAAUUUCUACCUUUUUUCAAGAAAUUUUAUGUACUUUUAAAUUGAUUAAAAAUUGGGGUGAGAUUGUCUUUAAUGUGAUUGUUAUUAAUGAAACAUUAUCAUCGUUUUAUUAUUUUAAAGGCAGUUUAUGUUUUCUUCACAAAAUUUAUUGUUUUGCUUUUAUAUUUGUGCAAUUAAAUUACAUAUAAUUUGUAAUAUCGAGAUGGAACUAACAUAAACAAUAUAUCUUUUUGUUCUCAGAGUACAAAGAAGUCGCUAGUGAAGACCGACAGUAACCAGCCCUCGUAAUUCAUCAACGUAGUUGCAAAGUCCACAACUCCUGCAAAUGCUGCACAUCGUACUGGGGAACUCUAGUUCGCGCUGGUAACAGUAUCCACCUCCGAGUUAACCGACGUUUUCGCCACUGUUCAUAUUUGCAAUCCAUACGAAUCGGAUACAGCGGCGUGGCUUUUCGCAGUGCUGCAACAUUGAUGGCGGUAAGUGGCACAAAUUAUACAAAGAAUUUCGUCAUACAGAAAGAUAAGACGUUUGAAGCAAAAAAAAAAAAGGUAUAGAGAAUAAAGGCAAAAAAGGUGUGAAAGACGGGAGGAUUCCGAAAGUAUAAGCCGUGUCACCCCGUUUGGCUGCUGGUAGGCGGAAUUUGCGUAAUCCCGCGUGCGCCUUUUCGCCGCGGCGCGCCGAAAAGG